AUUGAACGCUGGCGGCGUGCCUAACACAUGCAAGUCGAGCGGUAACAGGUGUAGCAAUACAUGCUGACGAGCGGCGAACGGGUGAGUAAUGCUUUGGAAUCUUCCCAGUAGUGGGGAAUAACCAGUCGAAAGAUUGGCUAAUACCGCAUACGUCUGUAAAGGGAAAGCGGGGGACUCGCCUCUUCUUCGGAAGAGAGGCCUCGCGCUAUUGGAUGAGCCAAAGCGGAUUAGCUAGUUGGUGGGGUAAUGGCCUACCAAGGCGACAAUCCGUAGCUGGUCUGAGAGGACGACCAGCCACACCGGAACUGAGACACGGUCCGGACUCCUACGGGAGGCAGCAGUGGGAAUAUUGGACAAUGGGGGAAACCCUGAUCCAGCGACGCCGCGUGUGUGAAGAAGGCCUGCGGGUUGUAAAGCACUUUUAGUGGGGAACAAAAGCUACGGAUUAAUACUCUGUGGUCUUGAUUUAACCUACAGAAAAAGCACCGGCUAACUCUGUGCCAGCCGCC
Molecule: ribosomal RNA, 509 nt
Filed under: uncultured bacterium
Lineage: Bacteria
Description: bacterial SSU rRNA
Rfam family: Bacterial small subunit ribosomal RNA
Source: RNAcentral